Molecule: ribosomal RNA, 301 nt
Filed under: uncultured bacterium
Lineage: Bacteria
Description: partial 16S ribosomal RNA
Rfam family: Bacterial small subunit ribosomal RNA
Source: RNAcentral
CAGCCGCCACGGGAAUACGAAGGGUGCAAGCGUUACUCGGAAUUACUGGGCGUAAAGCGUGUGUAGGUGGUUGUUUAAGUCUGUCGUGAAAGCCCUGGGCUCAACCUGGGAAUUGCGAUGGAUACUGGGCGACUAGAGUGCGGUAGAGGAUAGUGGAAUUUCCGGUGUAGCAGUGAAAUGCGUAGAGAUCGGGAGGAACAUCAGUGGCGAAGGCGGCCAUCUGGGACAACGCUGACGCUCAUGCACGAAAGCGUGGGGAGCAAACGGGAUUAGAUACCCGCGUAGUCCCUGUCUCUUAUAC